This 468-nucleotide ribosomal RNA is filed under the name uncultured bacterium. Its description in RNAcentral is "partial 16S ribosomal RNA". It matches the Rfam family "Bacterial small subunit ribosomal RNA", at positions 28 to 507 of the family's 1533-position model. The record is from RNAcentral.
GACGAACGCUGGCGGCGUGCUUAACACAUGCAAGUCGAACGGAAAGGCCCUGCUUUUGUGGGGUGCUCGAGUGGCGAACGGGUGAGUAACACGUGAGUAACCUGCCCUUGACUUUGGGAUAACUUCAGGAAACUGGGGCUAAUACCGGAUAGGAGCUCCUGCUGCAUGGUGGGGGUUGGAAAGUUUCGGCGGUUGGGGAUGGACUCGCGGCUUAUCAGCUUGUUGGUGGGGUAGUGGCUUACCAAGGCUUUGACGGGUAGCCGGCCUGAGAGGGUGACCGGCCACAUUGGGACUGAGGUACGGCCCGGACUCCUACGGGAGGCAGCAGUGGGGAAUGUUGCACAAUGGGCGGAAGCCCGAUGCAGCAACGCCGCGUGGGGGAUGACGGCCUUCGGGUAAUAAACCGCUUUCGCCUGUGACGAAGCGUGAGUGACGGUAAUGGGUAAAGAAGCACCGGCUAACUACGUG